GAUGAAGAACGCAGCGAAAUGCGAUAAGUAAUGUGAAUUGCAGAAUUCAGUGAAUCAUCGAAUCUUUGAACGCACCUUGCGCCCUUUGGCCAUUCCGAAGGGCAUGCCUGUUUGAGUAUCAUGAACACGUCAACUCUUCAUGGUUUUCCAUGAUGAGCUUGGACUUUGGGGGUCUUGCUGGCCUGUGGGUCGGCUCCUCUCAAAUGAAUCAGCUUGCCGGUUUUUGGUGGGCAUCACAGGUGUGAUAACUAUCUACGCUUGUGGUUUUCCACCAGGGUAACCUUCAGCAGUGGAGGUUCACUGGAGCUUACAAAUGUCUCUCCUCUGUGAGGACAGCCCUUUGAAUGUUUGAUCUCAAAUCAGGUAGGACUACCCGCUGAACUUAAGCAUAUCAAUAAGCGGAGGA
Molecule: unclassified non-coding RNA, 406 nt
Filed under: soil metagenome
Description: partial contains 5.8S ribosomal RNA, internal transcribed spacer 2, and large subunit ribosomal RNA
Rfam family: 5.8S ribosomal RNA (bases 1-121)
Source: RNAcentral